CCUACGGGAGGCAGCAGUGGGGAAUAUUGGGCAAUGGGCGCAAGCCUGACCCAGCAACGCCGCGUGAAGGAAGAAGGCUUUCGGGUUGUAAACUUCUUUUCUGAGGGACGAAGAAAGUGACGGUACCUCAGGAAUAAGCCACGGCUAACUACGUGCCAGCAGCCGCGGUAAUACGUGGGUGGCAAGCGUUAUCCGGAUUGAUUGGGUGUAAAGGGCGUGUAGGCGGGAAAGCAAGUAAGCUGUGAAGACUCAGGGCUCAACGCUGGGCCUGCAUUUGAAACUGGUGUGCUGGAGUGCUGGAGAGGCGAGCGGAAUUCGGGGUGUAGCGGUGAAAUGCGUAGAUAUACGGAGGAACACCAGUGGCGAAGGCGGAUUGCUGGACAGUAACUGACGCUGAGGCGCGAAAGCGUGGGGAGCAAACAGGAUUAGAUACCCGAGUAGUC
Molecule: ribosomal RNA, 443 nt
Filed under: uncultured bacterium
Lineage: Bacteria
Description: partial 16S ribosomal RNA
Rfam family: Bacterial small subunit ribosomal RNA
Source: RNAcentral